UAAGCGACCAGCUAUCUCU
This 19-nucleotide small nuclear RNA is filed under the name Arabidopsis thaliana (thale cress). Its description in RNAcentral is "snRNA_04954". Lineage: Eukaryota; Viridiplantae; Streptophyta; Magnoliopsida; Brassicales; Brassicaceae. The record is from RNAcentral.